GACGAACCGUGCGAACGUUGUUCGGAAUCACUGGGCUUAAAGGGCGCGUAGGCGGGUCACCAAGUCCGGGGUGAAAUCUUUCGGCUCAACCGGAAAAUAGCCUUGGAUACUGGUGAUCUGGAGGGUGGUAGGGGCAUGUGGAACUUCCGGUGGAGCGGUGAAAUGCGUUGAUAUCGGAAGGAACGCCGGUGGCGAAAGCGACGUGCUGGACCACUACUGACGCUGAGGCGCGAAAGCCAGGGGAGCAAACGGG
RNAcentral lists this ribosomal RNA (253 nucleotides) under uncultured bacterium. RNAcentral's name for it is "partial 16S ribosomal RNA". It matches the Rfam family "Bacterial small subunit ribosomal RNA", at positions 524 to 776 of the family's 1533-position model. The record is from RNAcentral.